UACAGAGGUCCCGAGCGUUGUUCGGAUUCACUGGGCGUAAAGGGUGCGUAGGUGGUGAGGUAAGUCGGAUGUGAAAUCUCCAGGCUCAACCUGGAAACUGCAUUGGAAACUACCUUGCUGGAGGAUUUGAGGGGGGAUUGGAAUACUUGGUGUAGCAGUGAAAUGCGUAGAUAUCAAGUGGAACACCAGUGGCGAAGGCGAAUCCCUGGACCUGUACUGACGCUCAUGCACGAAAGCGUGGGGAGCAAACAGG
RNAcentral lists this ribosomal RNA (253 nucleotides) under uncultured bacterium. RNAcentral's name for it is "partial 16S ribosomal RNA". It matches the Rfam family "Bacterial small subunit ribosomal RNA", at positions 524 to 776 of the family's 1533-position model. The record is from RNAcentral.